RNAcentral lists this unclassified non-coding RNA (249 nucleotides) under Hevea brasiliensis (rubber tree). Lineage: Eukaryota; Viridiplantae; Streptophyta; Magnoliopsida; Malpighiales; Euphorbiaceae. The record is from RNAcentral.
GAAGCAAUUAAUCAAGAUGUUAAGCGAAUAAAUACUGGGCGAGAUUCCUAACAAUUCAGUUGUUUUGGAUAAAGAAAUGACAGUAUGAUGCUGUUUCAUUCUCACAGGAGCAGAUAAAAAUCGAUUAAAAUCCACCCUAGAAAGUAGAGGAUGCAUAUGGAUAAAGGAGAUUUGUACUUAGAUCUGAAGACGUGUGCAUCUUGGAGUGUGGAAUUGGAAGUAGAGUAGAAGAAUGGAAAGAAUUGGUAA